This 43573-nucleotide long non-coding RNA is filed under the name Brassica rapa (field mustard). RNAcentral describes it as "long non-coding RNA (BRAP_LNC001805)". Lineage: Eukaryota; Viridiplantae; Streptophyta; Magnoliopsida; Brassicales; Brassicaceae. The record is from RNAcentral.
GGGUUUUACCUGAACUUGAAUAAAAUCCAAUAAAAAAUAUUCAACACCAAAUAAUUAUCUAAAAUAUUUUAGAAUUUCAAAAAUAUAUAAAAUAGUGAUUUAUUAUAUGAAUAAAUAGUUUAAAUACUUAUUUGAAUAUUUGAUGUAGAUUUUUGGUAUUUGAUCAAAUAUUUAGAUUUUUAUGUUUUGACUAAAAUUAAUUAGUGAGCGGAUACUUGUAAUUUGUUUUAAACAACUUAUCCAGCUCGGUAGCUCGCGGUGCCCGAUUCCCUUCCCCGAUCGCUUCCGGUUCUUUGGUCUGACUCUGUUUCGUUGCUUGCUGGGUAUUGUGCCGGUUAGGCCAUUGUUAGGAGUUGAGGUCUUUAUCGUUGUAGGUUGUGUUUAGUUUAUUUACUGCAUCCCGCUACUAGUGUCUAUGUAAUUUCUGUAAAAAAUUGAAAACUUGGUAUAAUAUUUUAACAUUUUACCAAAAAAAAAAAAAAAACUUAUCCAGCCAAACCCAAAUCAUUCCCUACAAUUUAUUUCCCUAAACCAUGAAAUCCCUAAAUCACAGCAAAAUAUCUAAACCAGCUGAUCAGACUAAAUUGCAAUUUAAAAAAAAAGUCUUUACCAAGACCUUCUGGCUCCAGUGGAGGCUCUCAAACAAUAAACUUCAAAUCUAACACAAAUAAAAGGAUAAACUUCUGUAACUCAGUAUAUCCGCAUAUCAGUCGUCUUCCUCAACAUCCAAACUUGCUCAGAAAACACCAUCUCUGAAAAUUGCGUCCACGACACCUAACAACUCUCCCCAAAAAUUCGACAUCCCAAUGAGUUUAUUCUGCAAUUCAAUUGACACCCUUUAUCCAAAACCUUACCUUCCUCACAAAUCUCACUUCUUUCCCCUCUCCGAUACAAAACUCCGAAACCUUAGCUUCGCCGGGUUCCCUCAUCUCCGGAUCAAAUCAUGCCUCAAAUCAGCUUCUUCCUCCGAAAUCGACAUGGUGAGGAACAAAGAAGGAGUCUUCGCUCCCAAGGAGAAGAAAGUAGUCGUCUUGUGGGACCUCGACAACAAACCUCCCCGCGGGCCUCCUUUCGAGGCCGCGACGGAGCUCCGGCGAGUCGCGGAGCACCUCGGCCGAGUCGUCGAGAUCUCGGCCUACGCGAACCGCCACGCUUUCAUCCACUUACCUCACUGGGUCGUCGAGGAGCGGCGAUCGAGGAGGAGCCUCGACUUCGCGGAGAGGAAAGGCGAAGUGGUCCCGGAGGAGCCGUACGUCUGCGGCGUGUGCGGACGGAAGUGCAGGACGAAUCUUGAUCUGAAGAAGCAUUUCAAGCAGCUUCACGAGAGGGAGAGGCAGAAGAAGGUGAACCGCAUGAGGUCGUUGAAAGGGAAGAAGCGUCAGAAGUUUAAGGAGCGUUACGUCUCCGGGAACGAGAAGUACAACGAGGCGGCGAGGAGGCUGCUCACGCCGAAAGUCGGGUACGGGCUCGAGGCCGAGCUGAGGAGAGCGGGGGUUUACGUGAAGACGGUGGAGGAUAAGCCGCAGGCGGCGGAUUGGGCGGUGAAGAGGCAGAUACAGCAUUCGAUGACGCGUGGGAUUGACUGGUUGGUUUUGGUGUCGGAUGAUAAGGACUUUUCGGAUAUGUUGAGGAAGGCGAGGGAGGCUGAUCUCGGGACGGUUGUGGUGAGUGAUAGGGAUGGUGUGUUGGGGCGGCAGGCUGAUUUGUGGGUGCCUUGGAUGGGGGUGGAGAAUGGGGAGAUUGGGGAGAAGGAUUUGGUGCCGGAGAAGAGACGGCGGUUUGAUGAGGAGGGGGAGGAGGAGGAGGAGGGGGAUGGGUUGUUUUCGUUGGCGUAUGAUGAGGAUGAGAGGGAGGAGAUGAGGGUGGAGAGUGAUGGGUUUGGGAGGUUUAGUGUGUCUGCGUUUUCGGAAGAUGAGGGGGAUUUUGCGUUGAGUGAUAGUGAUGAUGAUAGUGACGAUGAGCUUAGCUUCUGAGUUGUAGUUGUGGAUGUUUCGAUCGGUUUAGGACAUGAACCGGGAAUUUGAGUUGAAAAGAAGCUCUGGUUGAUGUGUCAUUUUUUUUUGGAGCAGUAUACUCUGAGAUCAAGAGUAGAACCAAUCUUUUGCGUAAGCAGAAAAGCAAUGAGAAUUCAAGUUAACAUUGUCGAAUGAUCUGAAUGAGACUAAUGGUAUAUAUAUCAAAUUGGUUACGCUGGUUGUUGUAAAGUAUUGAAUCUAGGAUUUGCUUUUGGAUAGUGCUGGUGUAAAGCUAAGUGACACUCUUAUCACAACUCAAGCGGUGAACAAUCAGAGAUUAUAACUCAUGUCCACAAUGAUUUGGUAAAAAAAAUCAUAAUACUGCAAAGGCUUGUCUCGUUUGUUUCUGGCGGCUUUGCUACUGGUUAUUUGCAACUCAGGACACCAUUCUUAUAAUCUCAUCACUGGACAAGUUUGGGGUUUCUUUUGAGUAUUGCCAGAUACAACAUUCCAUCUGAGUGGAUGCAAAGCUUUCACACAAGUCUCCAAAAAAUGUCUAACCUUAGUUCAUAAACAAUUUGUUAGUUGAGUUCCCAUACCCAAACUUCAUCGGUUUACUCGGUUUGAUUGUUUAUGUUAAUUCUUCCUUUGAUUCCAUAAAUUAAACAAUUCAUCCAAAGAAAUAACAAAAAAUAAAUUUAUUCGAAAUAAAACAACACAGUGUUGUUUUAUUUCGAAAUAAAACAACACAGUGUUGUCAACACUCAUGCAAUGCAAGUGCAAUAAUGUCUGGGUUCAAUUUAAAAUUGGAUUGCAUUAUACCGAUUUUAACCGAAAACCGGACAAACAUUAAAGUAAAUCUGUAAAAUGGAAACUUAACAAGGGAUAAAAUAGUAAAUAAACAAAUCGACGUCAAGCUGACGCGACUGCUGUCUCAUUCUCUCUCUCUCUCUCUCUGCUACUACUUCUGUCCGCUCCAAAGAAAGAUCCAAAGCUUACAAACACAAAUCCACUUUCAGUUUCUCUUCAAUUUUUGUCUCAAUAAAAAAAAACCCUAGUUUCGAUUCAAUUCGUGAUCGGACCUUUAUCGCAAUCGAGAGAGUGAGACUCUAGACCCAUGGAUUUCGAUUCGAACGGAGGAAACAAACGAGUCUUCAACCGACUCGGCGGGCCAACUCGCCCCUCGCCGCAGCAAACCAACACGCGUCAGCAAGUCUGCUUCCACUGGCGAGCGGGACGGUGCUACCGAAACCCUUGCCAGUUCCUCCACCGAGAGCUACCUGCUGGCCCCGUUCCGAAUCACGCGAACAAAAGGGCCCCCGACGAGUCCGGGUUCGCGGGUCCGAGUCACCGGAGAGGACCCGGGUUCAACGGGAGCCACUCUAGUAAUAACAAUAACAACACCUGGGGGAGGUUCGGUGGGAACAGCAGGGCGGUUGUGACGAAGACGGAGAAGGUCUGCAGGUUUUGGGUGGAUGGGAGCUGUAGCCACGGUGAGAAGUGUAGGUUCUUGCAUUGCUGGAGCAAAGGAGAUGGGUUCUCGUUGCUGACUCAGCUUGAUGGGCAUGAGAAGCUUGUGAGUGGGAUCGCUUUGCCGUCUGGAUCUGAUAAGCUUUACACUGGGAGUAAAGAUGGGACUAUUCGUGUUUGGGAUUGUGCUUCUGGACAGGUCUUUGAUUCGGUUUCUUGUUUUGUUUGAGGAUUGGUUAUCAUUGUUUGUUUUGGUUUCGAUGUAGUAGAGUGACUCAAGAGGAUGCAAUUAGUACAAGUGGAGUAAUGAAGUUAGUUGUUAAGUUAGGAAAGGAAGUGUGUAACUUUUGUUAGUUCUAUUGAUCUUUGAUAGAUUUAUUUUCUCUUUGGAUCAGUGUACAAGUGUACUGAAUCUUGGUGCGGAAGUUGGUUGUGUGAUUACUGAAGGCCCAUGGCUAUUGGUUGGCAUGCCAAAUCUAGUGAAGGUAAGUUCUGACUGUGAUCGCUCUUAGCCUUUUAUUUUCCUAGACUGUCACAAUAUCAAGGAACCUUAUUGUUCUAUGCUUAUUGAGUUAUAGUAUUGUUGUUGCUACAGGCUUGGAAUAUGGAAACCAACGCAGACCAGAGUCUCAGUGGACCUGUUGGCCAAGUGUAUUCUCUUGUUGUGGGCACUGAUCUACUCUUUGCAGGCACACAGGUAAACUUCCAAGCUUUUUUCUUGCUAAAAUCUCUUCUAUGAAGCAUGGGUGUUAAUGGCUAUAAAUAUAUCAGCUUUUGGUGAAAUAAGUUCUUUGCUUUCUCUGCAGGACGGUUCUAUAUUGGCAUGGAGAUAUAAUGCUGCCACCAACUGCUUUGAACCGGCGGCGUCACUAAUGGGCCACACACUUGCAGUUGUUACCUUGUAUGUUGGAGCGAACAGGCUCUAUUCAGGGUCCAUGGACAAAUCCAUAAAAGUAAGUACUAGUGAUUCAUCUUUUAUGCUUGAGUUGAGAACUCCCUUUCUUAUUGUUUUGGUUUGUGUUUGGUAGGUUUGGAGCCUUGAGAAUCUUCAGUGUAUACAAACUCUAACAGAUCAUACAUCAGUUGUGAUGUCUCUCAUUUGCUGGGAUCAGUUUCUUUUGUCUUGCUCAUUGGACAACACUGUCAAGGUUAGAUUCAUUGUUAUACUAUCUAUCAGAUAAUCUCGUGAUUGUUUUUAUUUUCCCCUAUUGACUUUGUUUGCUUUCUAGAUAUGGGCUGCAGUUGAAGGAGGCAACUUGGAAGUUACAUACACUCACAAAGAAGAAAAUGUAUAAACGUGUUAUCCUCUUACUUUUGGUCCUAAUCUUUUAUGUAAUCUAACUAACAAUUUCUGUUAAUAUCUGAAUAUUCAGGGAGUGUUAGCUUUAUGCGGUGUACAUGAUGCAGAAGCCAAACCGGUUUUGCUGUGCUCUUGCAACGACAACACCUUGCGUCUCUACGACUUACCAUCGUAAGUCUUGCAACACUUAUUUGUUUUCCGAUCUCUUCUGUUUUCUGAAGCUUAGGUUCAUUUGUUAGAUUUACGGAGAGGGGCAAAAUCUUUGCGAAGCAAGAGAUAAGGUCAAUCCAGAUAGGUCCAGGUGGCAUAUUUUUCACGGGUGAUGGAACCGGUCAAGUUAAAGUAUGGAAGUGGUCCACUGCACCAGCCGCCGCAGCUAUGUCUUGAGGAAGUUAGCAACCUUGUCAAGACUUCUUUUCCUACGAUGUUCUUGUACCAUUAUAUAUUGGGGGUCUUUUGAGUUGUUUUCUCUCUUUCUUAUUGAUGGCGUCCUCCUAGUAAAAGGCCAUGGUCUGAUGAGAUUGUGCCAUUUUAGGAGUUUUAAGACAGAAGUGGGAGAGUUUUGGUCUUGUAACACAUGGAUUUGUAUGGUCACAUUGUCAUAAUAAAGGAUUGAUCUAUUCAAGAAAGUGUAGAAACCUUUAGGCUUGUUGUCACUUUAACUAUCCCAUCUGCUCCGAGCUGUUUAGCUACGGUUAUCAUCAACAUCAACAAUAACUAUCCUAGGCACACCGAAAGCGCGAGCAGCCAACAUAGUGACAAGACCAAUAGGUCCAGCUCCCAUUACUAAUACAUGUGUUUCAGGACCAACCUCAGCUCGGCGACAAGCGUGUACACCAACACUUAGUGGCUCACACAUUGCUCCUUCUUCCAAACUCACAUUCUCAGACAACUUGAAGCAUAGAUCUGCAGGGUGAACCACUUGGUUGGCUAAAGAGCCAUGAACCAGUGGGGUUGCAAGAAACAAAGAUUGUCUUUGUUCAAUAUAAGUACCUUGAGGUAAUGAGCAUCACUUCCACAUGUACCAACAGCUUUCAUCUUAAUUCUCGCAUCAUGAGGACCUAAACAUGAUCAUAACAAAAGGGUCACGAAAAUAAUCAAAACCAUGAAAAAGAAUGAGCUUACCCAACGGAAGGAAGAUGAAAAGGUUGGAUUUGGAGAGUGUUCAGACCAGCCAACCAAGCAUCCAUGUUCUAUUUUUCCACCUUGGAGCCUUCUCCAUGAGACAUUCCUCCUUUCCCCAUUACUCUUCUCUGCUAUGCUCAGCUCAAAGGCUCUGUACUGAUCUCAGCUAUUGGAUUAAGUGAAAGACAAAAACAAACCCACCAGAGCCUUAAAAGAAUGAUUUAAGAAAACAAAAGGGGUCAGCAUCGAAAUCUCCACAAUAUAAUAAAUAAAUACACAUGAACCACGAAAUAUGAAAACGUGCCUUUUUCGAGAUUUGGAUAAACCCAUAUUGUUGAUUAGUCUUUUUCUAGUUACAUCAUAAUCAUGUUUAACAGAUUGUUUCACUCGUAAUCUAAACAUAGACAUAUUGAGAACAAGUUUCCCUAGAUAGCUUUGGGUUUUCGAGACUUGGAUAGCUUCUUUGACUUGAAUAACAUUACAAUAUCAAAUCUACCAGACAAGUUUCUGAGUUGGUUAGUCUUUUUGAUUAGCGAGGAAGAUUUUUUUUUUGGUUAUAUCACAAUUUAUCAUCACUUGUUUCACUUUGAUGGCUUGCAAUAACCAAUUUACAUAUCCAUGUGAGACUAAACACAUGAAGCAAUAACAAACAAGUCUCUCACUCUAUAUGUGCAGUUUUGACUAUUUGUUUAUUGUAGUAAUCAGCUCAAAUUUUAAUUUUCUUUAAAUAAUUAAAAUUUAAACCAUGAAAACAUCAUCAACUUCCAUGUUACAAAGUUUUCCUAGAUCCUACGGUUGACAUCAAAAAAAUUAUAAUAGCAAAGCUUCUUCUCAUAAAGAUCAAAGUACCAAAGAUCCAAUCUUCAUUAAAAAUAAUUACCAAGAUCCUAAACUCUUUGUAUGAAUGUACGACCAAUAAAUAAGUGUUGGUGAACCAUCAAAGCUUCCUCUCAUAAAGAUUUAACGAAAAGAGGCUCAUGCUUCAUGAUCUUAUUAUAUAAACCUCACCAAACCUUGCUCAUUUGUUUGGCUCCGAUCUAAGUAUAAAAGAAUCACACAUACUUUUUUUUUUUUGUAACAGAAGAAUCACACAUACUCUUUCACCAUAAUGAGUUUUCAAACAUUAUGGCUAUUUCGCAUAGUUCUCAUCGUAACAUUCAUCUCCCAUGCCUCGUGUUUUCCAGAUCAAGGUAAAGUAUUUCAUUGUUUCUUUACGUACACAUCGCUCAAUGCGUGACGAUAUAUGUAUUUGUAUUUUAUUAUUAAAACCUUUGUUUUUUUAUCCACGUGAAGCUGGGUACUAUAGUUUUACGAAAGAUGCAAAACUCGCACCAAUGUUCGCUCGCUUCGAUUACAUAAUCAUCGGAGGAGGAACCUCCGGUUGCGCGCUAGCCGCAACGCUCUCUCAAAACGCUAGCGUUUUGGUUCUUGAGCGCGGCGGCUCGCCAUACGAAAACCCGGCGGCGACGGAUAUAGGAAACUUCGCCACAACACUCUCAAACACAUCACCCAAGUCAUGGUCGCAGCUUUUCAUCUCCGAAGACGGCGUUUACAACACACGCGCGCGUGUUCUUGGAGGAGGCUCGGUGCUAAACGCCGGAUUCUACACACGUGCCGGGGAUGACUACGUGAAGGAGGCUGAGUGGGAGAGCGGUGAAGUAGAAGCUGCUUAUGAGUGGGUCGAGGAGAAAGUAGCGUUUCAACCGCCGGUGAUGGGAUGGCAAACAGCGUUGAAAGAUGGGCUUCUGGAGGCUGGAGAGUUUCCGUACAAUGGUUUCACGUACGAUCAUAUCAAUGGGACCAAGAUCGGUGCUACGAUCUUUGAUCAAGCCGGUCAUAGACAUACUGCUGCUAAUUUGUUGGAGCAUGCUAAUCCGGACACGCUUGCUGUCUAUUUGCAUGCUACAGUUCACAAGAUCCUCUUCACAACCAAAGGUAUUUGAAUGAUCUACAUUUUUUUCUCUCGUUCUAUUUUUUUAUUUUUAGGUUUGGGUUGCCAUAGUAUUAAGGAGGUAUAUUUCAACUAAAGUUUGAGAUGAUUUUUUAAAUUAAAAAUGACAAAUCGAGGUUAUUCAAACAUGGUUCUAAUAAUUCUUUUGAAAUCCAGUACUCAUAGUUUUAGAAAAGAUUUUAUCGUGGUUUAACAAAACUCAAAAUAAAUUCUUGGUUCACCCAAAUUCAUCUAAAAACUUGAUAAAAAAUCAAAAUAUUUUAAGUUCUUGAUUGGAUACACCCCAUAUAUCUAUAAAAUAUUUUAUAAGAUUUGUCUGACUAAAAUGAAAAGUGAAGGAGUUUCGGUUUGGUUUCAUUAUACGAAAACCGAUUUGAUUUUAUAUGAACAUUACCGCUUAGUUUUGGUUUUUAUAUACGUUCACCUCUACUUUUGAAUAUGAAAUUAUGUUUUGGACAGGAAGGCCAAGGCCAAAAGCGUACGGAGUGAUAUUUCAAGAUGCAAAUGGAGUGUUACACAAGGCAGAGCUGGCGAAAAUCGCAACGAACGAGGUGAUUUUGUCCGCGGGUGCCAUCGGGAGCCCGCAACUGCUGAUGCUUAGCGGUGUGGGUCCUAUGGCUCAUCUUACGGCUCACAAGAUUAAACCGGUGGUCUUAGAUCAUCCAACGGUCGGGCAAGGGAUGGGAGAUAAUCCGAUGAAUGCCAUCUUUAUUCCUUCUCCUACGCCCGUGGAGGUUUCUCUAAUACAAGUCGUUGGGAUCACAAAACAUAAUAGUUACAUCGAAGGAGCAAGUGGCGUAAUCAUUUCUUAUAGUUGGACUCGUAAUUAUUUCGAUGGUGUUUUGAAUUAUCUCAACGAGGUAUCAUAUAUAAAAACACGUUAAACGUUGUUACUACUUUAUUAUUACUAACGAAAUUAACUAUAUGCUAAUGUCUUUUUAUUUUUUCAUUGUGUAAGAUGCAGACAAGCCGUACUAAUACAUCUACAACAUUCUCGACUCAAUCCAUCACAGAUUUUUUCAAGUCUAUACAUCCGUUAUUGAGUGCAACAACAAAAGCCGGUUUGAUUCUCCAGAAAGUGGCUGGACCGGUCUCGAGAGGUCACUUGGAGCUUAGGAACACAAACCCAAAUGAUAAUCCUUCAGUGAGGUUUAACUACUACCAAGAGCCAGAGGAUCUAAAGAAAUGUGUUGAAGGGAUUACCACUAUUAUUAAAGUGAUUAACUCCAAGGCAUUUGCGAAAUUCAAGUACCCCGACGGGACCAUACAUGGCUUGCUCGAUCUAAUACUAAGCAUUCCCACUAAUCUAAGACCGAGACACGUAACCUCGGUGUUUGAUUUAAGACAGUUUUGCAUAGACACUGUGAUGACUAUUUGGCAUUACCAUGGAGGUUGCCAAGUUGGAAGAGUGGUAGACAAGAAUUACAAAGUCUUAGGUAUUGAUGGUUUAAGGGUUAUAGAUGGAUCAACAUUUCUCAAGUCUCCGGGGACUAACCCUCAAGCUACGGUUAUGAUGCUUGGAAGGUAAAUACAUAAAUUUAAUAAAUAAGUUAUCCAAACAUUUUGCAUCUAAUUAAGAAAUUAUUGUUUUGAUUGUUAUAUGUAGGUAUAUGGGACAAAAGAUUCUUCGAGAGAGGGGAGCUUUCCACAAAAAGGAUGAAGAAGCAUGAGCUAUUACUUUCAAAUAGUUAUUGUGCGUAGAAUAUGCUUUGAUUACAAACUUGCCUAUUACACUUUCAAAAGGAGGUUUGGAAAGUGAAGCAUCAGCUAUAUGUAAAGGAGGAUAAUCCUUUGAGCAUAUUCGGUUGCUCGAAUAGUUUUUUUUUUUUUGGUUAUAUAAAUUGCGUAGAAGUUGUUACCACAAAAUGUUAGGAGAAAAUUGUUAGAUGAAAGAAGUCAGUAAAAGGGAAAUUCAACUUUGGCAAAGGAAGUACAAUUAGUGAGACAUGUUCACAAGUUUGAAGUUGAGUCUUUUGCCAAAGGAGAGUUGCCCUUUACUGUUCUAUCUUUUGAUCGUGUUCAGCGUAAUUUUGCAAAUCAUAUUCCCUUGUCCUAUUCACGUGGUACUUACUUUCUACUGCUUUUACUUCUUAUUUGAAUGCUCGUUUUAUAUAUUUUGUGGAAAGGCAUAACCCGUAAUGUAAAAGUGGAUCCUAUUUAUUUGAUUGCUUACCAGUGUCUUUUUAGGCCUGGGCAUAUUACCGGAAAGAAGCCUGAACCAGAGAUACCGAACCAAAUAACCGUUACAUAUAAUAUUUAUUUUAGUGAUUAUAUAAUGAUUUAAUAUGCAUGUAACCAUUUUAUAAUAAAUCUUGUGAUCAAAAAGUUUGUGGAGAACAUUUUGUUUCACUUUGUGUUUUUAUUAUAUAGAUAUGAAACUGACUUUGGUUGAAAAUUACGAAAAUCUUGGAAAUAAUACCUAUAUAUAUGCAUCCGUGAACAAGGUGUUAAUACUAUUAAACAGCUUUAGAACCAGAUGGUUAGAAGACCGAAAUAUAAACUAUUUCAUCAAUCGUGGCGACUAACCAUUGUCCGUAGAUGCACAUGAGCUAACCACAUUACUCUACAUGAGCAACGUGUUAUUACUUAUAUCUUAGUUAAUAAUAGAUAUCUACUUCUUUGAUUUUGCUUGUGAAGUACAAAUCAUAUCUUAUCUAGUUAUUGGCUACUGCAAGGGGAGGGAUGUACUAUAUUCUUCAACUAUUCGUUGGCGAAUAAGUAUGACUUGUGUUGGUACUACAAAUUUGGAUCUUGCAUUUUAUGAAACUGGUUGAAGUCACUAAUGGUUCCUCUUAAACCGAAGAAGGCACCAACUUUACCCAACAUUAUAACUUCGCAUCAUAUUAAGAAGAUGAUCACUAAUCAUCUCAUUUAAGAGCAUAACUAGUAAUUGACAACAUCAAUAACACAAUAGUCUUUUAUUUGGACAAUGGAGAGUAUAUAUUGGUCUCAUCUUUAAUGAUCGAUUAGUCCCUUUUUUCCCCGGAAGCAUUUCUCUCUCGAAGAAUCUUCUGCCCCAUGUACCUACAUAUACCACUCCAAUAAUCAUAUCUGAUUUAAGUCUACAACAUGUAUAUAUGGAUCAUUUGCGCCUGUUCAUCUUACCUUCCGAGCAUCAUUACCGUGGCUUGAGGAUUAGUCCCAGGAGACUUAAGAAAAGUGGAUCCAUCGAUGACCCUCAACGCAUCAAUGCCUAAAACUUUGUAAUCCUUGUCGACCACUCUUCCAACUUGGCAACCUCCAUGGUAAUGCCAAACAGACAUCACGGUGUCGAUGCAAAAUUGCCUCAAGUUGAACACUGAAGUCACGUGCCUCGGCCUCAGAUUGGUGGGAAGGCCCAGCAUGCGAUUGAGCAACUCGCGUCCGGUUGCAUUCAAAUACUUGUAUUUGGAGAAUGCAUUCGAGUUUAUCACUUCAAUAAUGGUUUCAAGUCCUUUAACACAUUUCUCAAGAUCUUCUGGCUCUUGGUAGUAGUUGAAUGUCACAGAAGGGUUAUCAUCUGGAUUGGUAUUCCUGAGUUCUAAGUAACCUCUAGAGAACGGACCAUCGACUUUUUGGAAGAUGACGCCAUCAAUUUCAAUCAAAUUCAAUUGAAAAUCACUGGAGUUGAUAAAACUUGUGAUUGAUUGAGUGGAGAGUCUUGUCUGCACAAUGCUUCAUAAGUAAAUAUAUAACAUAGUCUCAUGAUUAAUUAACAAAAAAAAACCCAGCAAUGUAUUGAUAUCAUACCUCAAAGAACAUACGUGUCAAGUUAUAAGAGAGACUCAAUCCACUAAAACCUUCAAUGAAAUUGCCAAACCUGGUGAUUCCAACGACCUGAGGGAGGGACAAUUCUACAGGUUGAGGAGAGGGGACAAUCACACUGUUCAUAGGAUUAUCUCCCAUCCCUUGUCCAACCAUGGGGUGAUCUAUAACCACGGGGUCCACCCCUUGGGCUUCAAGAUGAGCCCUAGGACCUACACCGCUUAGCAUCAACAGCUGAGGGCUGCCAAGUGCACCUGCCGACAAAAUCACCUCGUUCAUUGCAUUUUCUGCCAGCUCUACCUUGUGGAACAUUCCAUCCGCGUCUUGAUAUAUCAUUCCGUACGCUUUAGGUCUUUGGUUUCCUGUUCUUAAUAUGAGUUUUCAUAUACAAGGACCAAAGUAUAUAAAAGCUUGAUUUUUUUUUUUUUUUUUGUAAAUAUAUGAAAUACCUUUUGUGGUGAAGAGGAUUUUGUGCACAGUAGCGUGCAAGUAGACAGCAAUUUUGUCCGGAUUAGCAUACUCUAACAAAUCCGCGGCCGAGUGUUUAUGGCCGGCAGAGUCGAAGGUGGAACCGCCAAUCUUCGUCCCUAUUAUAUGUUUAAAGGUGAAACCGUUGUACGGUAACACACCAGCCUCCAAAAGCCCAUCUUUUAACGCAGAUUGCCAUCCGGUUACUUGUGGCUCGAACACAAGUUUCCUCUCGACCCACUCGUAAGCAGCUUCCACUUCCUCCAUCUCCCACUCAGCCUCCUUCACGUAAUACUCUUCCGCACGUGAGUAAAACCCAGCGUUCAGCACCGAGUCACCUCCGAGGACGCGUGCACGUGUGUUGUAAACGCCAUCCUCGGAGAUGAAAGGCUGCGACCACGAGUUUGGUGUGAUGUUUAAGAGCGUGUUGGCGACGUUUUCGAUGUCUGUGGCCCUCGGAUUGUCGUAGGGAGAGCCGCCGCGUUCGAGAACCAAAACGCUUGCGUUUUGAGAGAGUGUUGCAGCUAAUGAACAACCCGAGGUUCCUCCUCCAAUAACUAUGUAGUCGAAGCGAGCAUACGUUGGUGCUGAUGUUGCAUCUUUCAUAAAUCCGUAAAACCCUGUUUUUACGAAAACAAUUUUCAUUACGUUUUAAAUUCGUACUAAUAUUAACCUAACAGCUUCAAAUGUUAUUGUACAUGAAUUCGCGAUGCAGAUGCUACGUAGUUGGUUCAUCAUGAAGCUAAGAUGUUACCUUUAUCUUUAUGGGAAUAACUGGAGCCAUGCAAUAUGAAAAUUAUGACGGGAACAGAAGGAAACAUAUGAAAACCCAUUGCAGUGUAAGAUAAUAUUUGCUUUGUACUAAAUCUUGUGGAGACACAAACAAGAAGACUACAUAAUUCAUACGAUUUAUAUACUAAUUAAGACGAAGUAUAACUGUAGUCUGUUUCUGUAUGACUGUCUUGUUUAAAUAUAAUUACUUCCCCAGUUUAUGGGUGUUUUCGUAUAACCAAACGAUUAUGUAAUGAAUAAAGUAAGCACUAAACUCCGGAAAGUGAAGCCAACAAAAUUACUUUACAUCAAAUUUGAAUGAUAAUAUAGUAAUUUUAGUUUAGAAGGUAAAUACUCUCGUUCCCGAAAUAAAUCACUUCACAUUCUGUGCAAGACAAAACUGAUAUUACGUGAACGGGUUUUUUUCCUUUCGGGACUUGUACUAUGUUAUCUUGUUUCUAGCUAUUAGAUUUUUCCCCUUUUGUUUUCUAUUCAUUUGGAGUUAUGUUUUCGUUUCAGUUUAGCUAAUUAAUUUUGAUAAUAAUUUGGUAUAAAGCUAUAAGUAGCACAUACGAAGUUUGACUAUAAUUAUCUUUAAUUGUGUUCAAAAACAUUAUCUUUAAUUAAAAUUUGGUGGUUUCGGAAUUUUCAGUGAAUCUACGAAAACUUCAAAUAUAUUGAUCAAGUAUUGGUACUGAAAUUCAUUACCAGUUCAAGGAUCAUACGAAUAUUCUUUCCUUUUUAGAUUUAUAUAUUGAAAAUCGUGGUAGCUCUUAGCUUUCAGUACAUAGUUCUCCUCAAUACUUAGAAUUAGUCUCUUGAUACACCUGCUACACGUUUUGCCGUUUGAAAACGUCCGGUAGAAGGAUUAUAUAGUAUAAUUAUGAUGCUGCUUUUGAUUCUCGUACAGGUCAGGUGAAAGAGGGUUGGAUUGUAAGAGAUAGCUAUGUUUCUACAAAAAAUGUGGGGAUCUAGUAGUUUAGGAGAAGCGUCAUCUAGUUUGGAAGCUGAGACUAAAGUGUUUCUCACCGCAAUGCAAAAUGUUUAACAAAAUAUAAUAGAAUACAAAUAUUUUACAGUUGAGAUAUUCAAAAUGAGUUUUUUCAGAUGGUGUAAGAAGUUAAGAACAAAACUUGGGUUUACCCCCUAAGGUGAACCUUCUAAUUCACCUCCAUGCUUAACACCAAUCAAAGUAACAUGUAGGAUUAGUUAAAAAAAGAAUUAAAACUAAAAAAAUAAAUGGAAACUAACUAAAAGAAGCGUCGCCGGUAACCAAGGAAUUGACGUGAUCUUCGAUCUCCGUUGGCUUCUUCUUCUUCACCCCCAUAGAAGUAUAUCUAAUUAACAAAACUGAAAUUGAAAACAUAAGGUCUUAACCGAUCGUCUUCGAUUUGACUUAAAUUUGGUUACUCGUUCAUUAAAAAAAAAAACUGUUAACAAACUGCCAAAGAACCAAAGCCCUUGAAAACACAAGACAACAAGACAUCUUUCACAUUCGACAACAGAUCAAUGGUGGUACAAGUCGAUAACCUUUGUCAGGGAGAGAGUUUUGUUCUAUGCAUACCUAUGGUUUAACAAACUGUGAAAGUUUCAAUCCUAUAAACUGAGUUGACCACACCUCGUAUCUGUUUGCCUGCUUCUCUGAAUAAGAUAUAAAACAUACUUGCAGUGUGACGAGCCUUCUAGCAAUCUGCUGAUUGAGUUUUAAAAAACUCUCAUUACAUUACUCAAAAAGAUGAAGUAAAAACAAUGGUUAAGGCUCAUUAGUCCUUAUUAUUACACAAGUUCACACAUUCUAAUACUCUUACAUAUAAAAAAAACUCAAAUAGACAAAUACCAUUUACCACAUCGCUGCUUUACUAGCCCUUGCUUAUUCAAGAGGUCUCUUCAAGGAGAUUAGUUGAAAUUAACACCAUAUUUAAGCUGUCUAGUAGUAGGAAGAAGCAGUGCUUCUGAAAUAAAGCAAGAGAGGAAGGCUUUGACAUAGGAAACAAGAUCAGCAACUAUGGUUCUUCGUAUGAGGAAAAUCAAAACCCACUAAUGUCUAAAACAUGAUUAAGACUAACUUUUUUGUUUGUUUGAUGUGGAAUUCCAAAGAUGUCUUGUUGUUUUCAAGGAUUUUGGUUCUUUGGCAGCUAGUUAGCAAUACAAUUUGAUGAUGAUGGUGUCACAACAUGAGGGUCUCUUUAACCCAGUUUUUCAUUUUUAGUGAAAGAGUAAACAAAUUUAAGUCAAAUCGAAGACGAUCAGUUAAAAUUUUAUGUUUUCAAUUUCAGUUUUGUCAAUUAGAUAUAUCUCUGUGGGCUAUGAAGAAGAAGCCGAUGGACAUCACGUUCAAUUCCUUGGUCAACUGAGACGUCCUCUUUUUUUUUCUUUUAGUUAUUUUUCAUUUAUUUUUUUAGUUUUAAUUCCUUUUUUAACUAAUCCUACAUGUCAUUUUGAUUAGUGUUAAGCAUUGAGGUGAAUUAGAAGGUUCACCCUAAGGGGUGAACCCAAGUUUUGUUCAGAAGUUAAAUAAUGUUUCCCAACAAUAGGGGGCUUAACAUUUUACUAAAAAAAACAACGGUGACUUAUUGUUUGAGGUCUGAAGAGAGUUCAAAUUCAACUAUUUAAUCUGGGCUCAUCUCGAUUUAUUGUUUCAUGCUUCUUCCUGAUAUUUGAAGAAGGCCGCCCUCUCUUUAAGAAUUUUCUGCCCCAUGUACCUACAUAAAGCACUCCAGCAAUCAUAUGUAUGUGUAAUAUAUGUACAUAACAUGUUAUUAAAUAAACUGUUAUUUUGGUUUUUGCACUUACCUUCCAAGCAUCAUAACCGUAGCUUGAGGAUUAGUCCCCGGAGACUUGAGAAAUGUUGAUCCGUCGAUAACCCUUAAUGCAUCAAUGCCUAAAACUUUGUAAUUCUUGUCAACCACUUUUCCAACUUGACAACCUCCAUGGUAAUGCCAAACAGUCAUCACAUUGUCGAUGCAAAACUGCUUCAAGUUGAACAUUGAGGUCACGUGCCUCGGCCUAAGAUUUGUGGGAAGGCCCAGCAUGAAAUUGAGCAGCACACGUGCGGUCACAUCAGGGUAUUUGUGCUUAGUGAAGGCUUUCGAGUCUAUCACCUUAAUAAUGGUUUUAAGUCCUUCGACACACUUGUUCAAAUCCUCUGGUUCUUGAUAGUAGUUGAACGUCACUGAAGGGUUAUCGUCUGGAUUCCUGUUCCGUAGCUCCAUGUAACCCCUCGAGGCCGGUCCCGCCACUUUUUGAAACAUCCCAUUCACAGCUAUCAUAUCUUUGAAUCCACGAUCCAAAGAUCUUAAAAAGUCUACAAUGGGUUGGGUUAAGAUUUUCGUAGAUGUAGUACGGCUUGUCUGUAGAAUCCAUGUACAGUCUCAUAAGUAACAUAUACUCUCGUAAACAAUAAGUUAUAAUAACCUUUGAACGUAUUUAUGUUACUAUACCUCGUUCAGAACAUGUAAAACACCAUCGAAAAACCUACGGGUCAAAUCAAAAGAGAGGGUCACGUUAUUUCCUCCUUCGAUGUAACUAUCAAACUUUGUGAUACCAACAGCUUGUACGAGGGACAUUUCUUCGGGCGUAGGAGAAGGAAUGAAUAUGGGACUCAUGGGAUUAUCUCCCAUCCCUUGCCCAACCAUUGGGUGAUCUAAGAUCACCGGUUUAACCCCAUGAGCUGCAAGAUGAGCCAUAGGACCCACGCCGCUCAGCAUCAAUAGAUGGGGGCUGCCUAUUGCUCCAGCAGACAAGAUUACUUCAUUCAUUGGAUUAUUUGCUAAUUCUACCUUGUGGAGCACUCCUUUUGUGUCCUCGAAUAUAACUUGGUAUGCUUCUGGUCUCGGUCCGUCUGUUUUUUUUUCAAGAAAAUGAAAGAAAGAAUAAUCCAUUUAAUUAAUUAUUUUUGUACUUGAAUAAAAUUUUGCAACAAAUAAGAUUGGAAAAAGCAACCAUAAAUAAAAAAAAAACAAAAAAAAACAACCAUAAAUAAAAAUAUGUUAAUUUUGUAUCAGUGAUAUGCAAUAUGUCAAUUUAAAUAAUUAAUUGUUUUAUGCAAUUGUUUUAUGCUAAUUUUUUAUCAGCGAUAUGCAAUAUGUCAAUUUAAAUAAUUAAUUAGUUGUAUUGCGCAAUACGCAUGCAAAACACUAAAAGCACUAAAUUACGUAUUAUCAGCUGAAAGCCUCAAACAAUUUAAAAGUUAAGAAAUAAUUUAAUCUAGUUAUUAUCAUAAUAAAAAAAAGGUCAAUGCAUGGGCAGUCGCAUCUAUAUCAUUAAUGUUUAAGUUCAUAAAUAUACUUUCCUCCGUAUUUUUCUCGUCGGAUUGUGCGUUCUUCCUAGUUCCUCCAUAUAUUUUUUUUACAAAAAAAUGACUUUCUAAUUUAUUUAGCGCAUAACAUCUUUAUAAAAUGCUCCUUAAAAGUUAAUGAAUGUAAAUCAAUACCUGUUUUAGUAAAGAGGAUCUUCUGGACAGAAGCAUGCAAGUAUACAACUAUGUUGUCUGGAUUAGCAUACUCCAGCAGAUUCGCCGCCGUGUGUCGAUGACCGGCACCGUCAAAGAUCGUACCGCCGAUCUUAGUCCCGUAGAUGUGAUCAUACGUGAAACCGUUGUACGGAUUCACACCAGCCUCCAAAAGCCCAUCUUUAAACGCUGUUUGCCAUCCCAUAACAUGUGGCUCGAACACAAGUUUCUUCUCCACCCAUUCGUAAGCAGCUUCCACUGCCUCGCGCUCCCACUCAACUUCUUCCACGUAGUCAUCUCCCGCACGUGUGUAGAAUCCGGCGUUUAUCACCGAGCCUCCGCCGAGGACACGGGCUCGUCUGUUGUAAACGCCAUCCUCGGAGAUGAAAAGCUGUGACCACGAGUUUGGUGUGAUGUUAAAGAGUGUGUUAGCAAAGUUUCCCAAGUCACUCGCCGUUGGAUUAUCAUAAGGAGAGCCACCGCGUUCGAGAACUAAAACGCGAGCGUUUUGAGAAAGCGUUGCGGCUAAUGCACAGCCUGAGGUUCCUCCUCCGAUGAGUAUGUAGUCGAAGCUAGCAUAAGUUGGUGCUAGUGUUGCAUCUUUCAUAAAUGUAUAAUGCCCUUUCUCCACAUAUAAAGAAAAAAAUGAUGAAUAUUGAAAAGAAUACUAAGAAUUAUAUUCAACAUAUCAUCACGCAUUAUAAUGAUACCAAUAUGAAACUAGGAAUGUACCUUUAUCGCAAUUACACGAGCCAUGGAAGAUGAAAAUUGUAACGAAAAUAGUAAGGAAUAUAUGAAAGCCCAUUCUAAUGUAAGAUUGUCUUGGCUUUGUUCGGAAAGAGAAAACUUCUUGUUUCAUGCGCUCUAUACAAGUAUGAACCUUGUGUUCAGAUCUGCUUAGUUUUCAAGUCUUCAAGGAUUUUGUUGCGUAGUGUAUUAUUUAUAGGUUUCACUGGUUUCUUGCAAUUGUGAAUGUCAAAUUUGAGGGCGAUCGCAUUUGGAUCGUUUGACACCAAUUAUAAAUUAAAAUAUAUUUAAAAAAUUGCAAUUAGUGAAAGUCACAUCCGAAAACAGUUCUAAAUUUCAAUAUCUUAUAUUACAAAGUACUGUCGACACAAAAAUUAUAUAACAAACUGACUAAUCGUUGUGCCAUGUGUGCAGGUCGAACAACAAUUAAGCUAUUAUUACUGGAAAUUAGUUUAUUUUAAACUUGCAGGGCAAAUAAAACCGAUCAAUCUCUGUCAUAUACAAGUCUAGCUCUUACAUUUUGAAUAAUAUGUAAAAGUCACGAUCAUGUUCGUACCUCAUAAUAUAAUACCCUUAUAAUACGUAGCUACAGUUUGCUUUAUAAUAUUUAUGUAACUUCUUUAAGUUAUUCAGAAUAAAAUAAUGUAGAAGAACCUUCAUCAUCUAUUAUUGAAAUCGUUCUGUUGGUUCUCAGAAUGUAGCUGGUUAUUCUUAAGUGGGAAUUUAUAAACCUAUUACUUUUCCAACGGGUAAAGACAAAAGUAUAAUAAUUUUUUUGUGAAUUUAUAGUAUUUCUCAGUAAAUUAUGAUUUUAGGAAUAUUCACUGUUAUUUUCGAACAACCCAUCUGACUUGUGUAUAUGAGAACCGUCUGUAGCGUAACAACAUGAGAAAUUAAUAUGUCAUACCCUUUGACAUACGUUCUCUCAUUAUUCACGCACAAGUUAAAUUCCUUGCCCAGAAGAACCACCACAACCCUUUCUUUAUUGCCAUGAUUCGUCCAUCUUGCUUUCCAUUUAAUCAUGAAGUUUUCUUCAUGUUCUCACUUGAUUUCUUCUCCUCCAAAGAAUAAUAUAUGCUCAUCAUACACCACCGUGGAGUUUCCUCUUUGUGAUUCCGUUUAUACUUUGUGAUCUCUUUUCUACAGCAACAAAAACCUGAAUUAUUCUGAUACCACUUGUUAAGAUUUGUUGAUCGUUAUAUAUUUUUUAAUACAGAUAAUUUGAUUUUCGGCCUUAAAUCGGUAUGUCUCGAGUGGGAACCGUCUCUCAUAACUUUCACUAUAAGUCAAAGGGUUUAGACAAAUACUUUAGUGCGCUAUAUGGGAAGAGACAACACAUAACUGGAACAACGCCCUCUUACUCUUAAGUUUCUUCUUUUAUUGUUUCUCUCAACUCUCUCUUUGUUCUUACGUUUAUGUUAUGUUUUGGGUUAUUUUUCACCGGAUUAUCCAAAUCGUUGAUAACACUCACUAUAUAUUUAUAUCCACGCUAUUAGUGAAUCCUAGCCUAGUCUCGUACAGUUUUUGGUUAAAUCCUCCCUUCUCCCAAUCUAAUAAUGAGUUGACCUUUUUUAUCCGAACGUAAAACGUUUAUGGAUAAACCGACACUGUUCACCUGUUGGGCCCUUUUUUGUGUUUGCCUGGAAUAAGAUAGGUAUUGGGCCAAUUUGUUCACAUUAACUAAGUAAGAUUUACAUUUUUCUCUCAACAUAUAGAUUUUUCUCGUAAUAUACAUUUUUGUUACUUCUAAAAGGCGGUGAUACACCAAACCCUAGUUCUAUCUUUUCUUAUAUAUGUAUGUGUAAGCUCAAUAAUUUUCUUACAGAAACCCAAAAACAUGGCGCCUCCAAAAGAGAAGAAACAAAAGCUUAGCACAUCUGAAACCAUAAGUCCCUCUCUCUCAAAGAUGAAGAAGAAGAAGAACAAGAGGAAGAAGAGGGUGAGCAAAUCACUAAUAACCUCAAGUCCCUCUCACUCAGAGAAGGAUUUGGUAACCCUAAGUCCCCCUCCAAUCUCAAAGGUUAAUGGGGAGAAAGCAAUGAAGAAGCAAAACGAUGUGGCUAUGUUUCUUACGGAGAAAGUUAUCUCUGCCGUAGCUAAAAACUCAAACUUCGUCUUCUCUCCUGCAUCCAUCAACGCCGCUCUAACCAUGGUCGCUGCUAGCUCCAAAGAGGAAAAACUAACAUCGUCCAUCUUAUCCUUCCUUAGGUCCUAUUCAAUGGAUGAGCUCAAAGCUGUUUUCAGCGAGAUCGCUACCAUGGUCCUCGCCGACGGAAGCGCAAGCGGUGGCCCUAAAAUCUCGAACGUUAAUGGAGUGUGGAUGGAGCAGUCGCUGGGCGUUGAUCCCUCGUCGAAGGAUCUCUUUGAGAAUUUCUUCAAGGCUACUUGCGCUCUUGUUGAUUUCCGAUUCAAGGUUAGUUUUAUAUUAGGUUAAGUGCUCGUGUGAAACUGUCUUGGGUUAAUAAGAGUUAACCUUUGAUCAUAGAUAAAAUGGGUUAUGUGUUUGUGUCAAAACUGUAUUAGGUUUAUUAGUUUGUGAAUCUAUCUAAUAGAUAAUAGACAGGGGCUGUCCUUGGCAUAGCCAAAUUAUUGAUAAAUUGGUAUAUGCAUGACCCCUAUUUUUUUUUAAAUUAAAAAUACAUAAAAGCCUCUAGAUUUAUUUUUAAAAAAUUAUUAAGACCUUACAAAAUUGCCUAUAGUUUUUGAUAUUAUAGUAGAUAUAUGUACAUCUCCUAGCCUUACAAUUUAUGAUAAAUCAGCUUUAUUUGAAACACUUGAAACAUAGGCUGAAGAAGUGCGCGAGGAGGUGAAUGCUUGGGCUUCAAGUCACACCAAUGGUCUCAUCAAAGUUAUUCUUCCUCCUGGAUCCGUUACAAGCGACACCGACUCUAUUUUUGGAAACGCACUCUACUUCAAAGGAACCUGGGAACAAAAAUUCACAAAGUCUUUGACAAGACACUUUGACUUUCACCUUCUCAAUGACAAAUCAGUCUCUGUGCCUUUCAUGACGAACCAUAAGAAGCAAUACGUUGAGCAGUACAGCGAUUUCAAGGUCCUUAAGCUGCCAUUUCGGCAAUCCGGUGACACGAAUCGCCAAUACUCAAUGUAUUUCUAUCUACCGGACGCCAAGGAUGGAUUGAAUAGUCUGGUCAAGAGGGUGGCAUCAUCAUCAUCUACUCUUGGAUUCUUGGAUAGUCACACUCCAAUAAAACAAGUUGAAGUUGGUGUGUUCAGAAUCCCAAAGUUUAAGAUAGAUUUUGGGUUUGAAGCUAAAAAGGCUUUCAAUGGAUUGAAUCUGGAUUUGCUUUCACUGAACCAUAAAGCUUUGGUUGAGAUCGAUGAAGAUGGUGCAGAGGCUGCGGCUGUUACUGUUAUAAGACGCUAUGGUGGUAGAGGCUUCAGGUGUGGUAAGAGGAUAGAUUUUGUGGCUGAUCAUCCAUUUCUUUUUAUGAUUAGAGAAGACAAAACUGGAACUGUUUUGUUCGUUGGUCAGAUCUUUGAUCCUUCUAAAUCUGCUUCUCCUUAGGACCGACAAGAUUAUGAUUUUUUUUUUCCAUUUGGGGCACUUGAUCGCCAGUAACAUUCUUUUGAUCUUUUCCUGUUUGACCCCUUUGAGAAAAAGAAGAAUUCAUAAUUCACUGUUACUCUUUUGACCUCUUUCAUUUACGAUACAUCCUUCAAUCUGUGAUCAGUUUUACUUAUCUCUGGCGGGUUCUAGAUGAGCGCAAAUUAAAAUUCAUAAAUAUACAAUUCUAUUUAUUUAAAGAGUCGUUUUGUAACAGAUUAUCCAAACCCAAACAUCUUAAGACUGUUCUCAGAUUAUCAAAUCAAUAACGAAAAUUUUAUUCUACAAAGACAUUUAAACUGAAACGGAAAGAAUAUAAGAUAGAUAGGUCAAUUCACUUAUCACUGUCUCUCUGCUUAAAUUCAUUUUGAUUAUAAUAUUUCAUUUUGAUUAUAAACAGAAAGAAUAAAAUAUUUUAUUUUGAUUAUUUUAUUUUAUUUUAAUUGAUAAUUAUUUAAUAUAUAAUUAUGAAAAUAAAAUAUAAAAAUAGCAAUAUUGAUCUGAUAAGAUAAAUGGUUAAGGUCUGUUUAACAAAUUAUGAACGAGUAUUAGAUUAUUUUAUAGAGAAAUGUGACGGUUUAAUAAAAUUUAGAAUGCUAAAAAAAUAAUGAUAGUAUUAAAAAGCUGAUUUUGAUUUAGGAAGUAAAACAUACGUGUCGUAAUAUAAAUGGUGACAGUGCACGUCAUUGUACGAUGAUGUCGACACGCCCAUCGUUUACUAUUCCACCCACUCUAGUCCCAAGAAAACAAUUUUGAAUAUUUCCGUUUCUUAUAGUUUAAUCCUUAAUAAUUUCCCAAAGUUUUUGAACAUAAUAAUUUCCCAAGUUUAUUUUAAAGAUGUUUCCUUCUGCUAUCGAUUCUUAAUUUUACCAAAAACAGAUAAAGUCAUGGUCAUUUCUUUAAUCAGAACCUAGGACUAACUUGUUCUUUUUCUUCUUUAAUUAUUAUUUUCUCUGUUGUAUUGUUCUUCAAUUAUUAAUCCAACUAGUAAUAGCAUCACCAAAAGAAGAACAUAAAAAAUCUCUUCUUCCUUUUUCCUUUUCUCUGUCCAAUUAAUCAGAACAAAAAGCAAGGUUAGAAUUUAGGGUUUGUGGCUCUUGUACAACCAGAUAGAGGUAAACAUAGUGACAGGAAUCAUAAGAUCUAGAUCCUGCCUCUUUCUGAAAUGUUGGUUAUAGGGUUUAACUUUUCACCAAUUUUGUUUUCUGUUUAUCAUAAAAUCUAAGAAAAACCAUAAAAUUCUAAGAAAAAAGUAGCUUCGUCAGCUGAUUUUCAUCUGGAAAAAUAAUGUAGUUUAGGGUUUCUGAAGCGAAUCUAGAAAUAAAUCUCCUCAGUUUCCUAACUUUGACUUAAAGCUUUUGAAUCUCAUUGUUUUUGCAGGAAGAUGGUGAGAGGAAAGAUCGAGAUCAAGAAGAUCGAGAACAGGACAAGUAGACAAAUCACAUUCUCGAAGCGAAGGAACGGUCUCUUUAAGAAGGCUCAUGAGCUAUCUGUUUUAUGUGAUGCACAAGUCGCCGCCAUUGUCUUCUCUCAGAGCGGAAGAUUAUACGAAUUCUCUAGCUCCGAGUAAGAUUCUUUUAUCUAAUUAUUUUAAAAUUUUACAUAUGUAUAAAUCUUUCUCUGCAAAUAGACUGAUUAAAUGCCUAGGACUUUUGUAGUGAAUAGUUCUAUCUCCUUCUGGCCGAAUCGUACCUAAGAGAUUUUGCAAUAAUACGUUUAAGAUUUGCUUCUUUUUCUGCUAGCUAUUAUUUGACUUUUCUGAAAAUUGAUUUUAUCACAUUUUUUUUCAUUUUGCAGUACUUCUGGAUUUUAUAUAAUGAACUUAAAACAUAAGGAUUCCAAUUAAUUGAAAACUUUAAAAAGUUUCUAAAGGGUUUUUCUUCAAGGAUGAGCAAGUGAACUAGGUUUUCAGAAAAGAGGUUUCUUGAACAAUUAACCUCCUCGUACACCUUGGAACUUAAACUGAUACCCACUAGACAUCUUAUUUAGAAUAUUGAAAAUAAUUUUCUGACAUUAUAAUUACAUUGUACGAACAGAAAUCAUAUAUAUGCUGCAUGAGAAAAUAUAUGAAAUUUCCCCCAUUGUUCUCUCUAUAAUUUCUUUCGUGAAUAUUCAGUUUCGUGCUAGUUUACAUAGCCAACCAAGUUUGACAAAUAGUUCUUGUUAUAGUUCCCCUUGUUUUAAUUUUCAUUCCGUGCUUAACAACCCUAUUGCAGAAACAAUCACUGGAUUUGGUGUAUUGAAAAACGAUUUCAGUUGCAUAUAAACUUAUACAAAUUAGAUAUCAAAUUAAGUUUCUUUAUUCUCCAUCGUCAAUGAUGUUGUUAUGUAUCUCUGUAUAUUUGUCAACAUUCACACAUAAGCUUGAACGGAACGAUAAAGCGUGAAAGAAUGACAAGUGGUAUUUUUCUCUCUUUAUGCACAUAUAGCGAUGAAUAGUGUACCUUUUUCAUGUUUUUAACAUUUUGUCCCUAUAUUUGGUUAUUCGUAUAUUUAUCAUUUUUGACAACUGAUUCUUCUAUAUACUAUGAAUCUAUCACCUAUUUAGCUAUUCUACUAUUCGCAUGACAUGUAUACCAGGUAAGUAAACCCAUAAUAUUUCAUCUCAUGAAUGUUACAAUGAUCAUCACUGGUAAAGGAAGCAUCCUAGGUACUAUUAAGUAAGCAUCUUUGUGAAUUACACUUUCAGGAUGGAGAAGACGAUAGAAAGGUAUGUCAAGUUUAGUCCUGACUACUUUGUGCCAGGGAGGCCCCAAGUAGAACUAUACUUGCUGGUUUGUUUUCUAUAAAUGUGUAUACCUAUAUAUUCUUGAUUAGUCUCUUCUUUAAUUUAAUAAUAUUGAUGUAUACUAAAAACUCGGCCUUUUUGGUUGUGCAGGAGCUUAAGAAGGAAAUGGAUAUAAUGGUAAAGAAGAUUGAUCUCCUUGAAGUUCAUCAACGGUUCGUAUCUCACUAUUUGUACGGUUACAUUAAGCAUUAUUUAUGAAGAUAAUUUGUUUUAAUCCUGAAAUCUACUGUUAAUGCCGUUAUGUAUGAAGGAAGCUAAUGGGGCAAGGUUUGGGUUCAUGUUCACUGGCACAACUUCAAGGGUUGGAAACUCAGAUUGAGAAAAGCCUUCGAAUUAUCAGAUCAAGAAAGGUACAAUCCAAAAACACACACACGCCCACACCAAUAGGAAUAAUAACUUCAUUGGUUUAUUUUGGUGUGUAGGCUGAGUUAUAUGCAGAUCAACUAUUGAAACUAAAAGAAAAGGUAGUUAUUUUUCACUUAGUAAGUUUUGGGAUCGUUUCUAUAUUUCAUGCUAUUUUUAUUGAUCUUUCUUUAUCUGUUUCUAGGAGAGAGAACUCUUGGACCAGAGAAGAAGGUUACGUGAAGAGGUAAAUACGUACAUACACUCAUCCCAUGAUACACAUAAACGCACUUUACACAUGAAACAUAUAUAUCUCAACGCUUAGCAAGAAGUUUAGCUACAUAGAAAAUUCAUCGCAUUUUGUAGACCUUCUACUUAUGAGAAGAAGGUCUAUUCAUGCACUGACUGUAUGAAUAUUAGUUGAUUUGAGAACUAUUCAUGCACUGACUGUUUGUUUGGGAUUGCUUUAACGUCCAUCGUUAGUCGUAGACCUAAACACUCGUUUCAAACAGACGACUUGUGUUUGGCAUUUGAAUUUACAAUCAUUUAGCAAAAUAGAUUAUGGAAAUUAGAAAAGGUUUAUUUAUAAAGAAAGACAGAUUUUUUUUCUUAAAAAAAAGAAAAAGAAAACAUAGAAUUACCUUGUCGUGUAAACAGAAACAAUAAAAUGUUGCGUUAAAAAGCGAAAUAUGAUUAAUCUAUAUGAUCUUCUUUAUAUCUAGAAGGGAUUGAGCUUCAUUAAGAGCUUUAGUUUCAUUAAGUUUCCACUUUCCUAUAAGUUAAUCCACACUCCGCUUAGUACAAUAGUACUAUCGCAUAAGUUGCUCUAAAGUUAUGUGAGGAUUUUUGUUUUCUAUUGUGAGGAUAUAUUCUAUACAAACACUAAUUUGAGAUCGCUCAUAAUAUAUAGUCAACUCUCUUAGAAUUAGAUUGUAUUACAAAGGCUUAUUAUUUGUUUGGUUUUUAAGUUAAUAAAACAGUAAACACAAUAAACAUAGUAACAUAUAUAUAUAUGUCGUUUCAUCUUUUCAAGUCAUAUUUCAAACUGUUAUGAAAAUAACUUUAAACUUGGUAUUUCAGGAAAUCAGAGAAACCCUGGUACGGCCAAUGCUGCCAGUAACCUUACACACUGGGAAAGAUGAAACCGGAAGUGCCUGCAGAAUGUCCAAACAUUCAUCAGAAGUCGAGACCGAUCUAUUUAUUGGAUUUCCCGCUACUCGACUAUAAUACAUUUCAGACAUUCCUUUAGUCUGCUCAUAGUAAGAAAAAAAAUUGCUGAUAGUCUUAUAACUUUGAUUCGAUGUUUGUACUAAUAAUUAGCUUAUAAUUUUCUGCGUUUUGGCCCAUCUCUUUUUUUUUUUUUUUUUUUUUGAAAGAAUGUUAAAUUAAUUCAAACAAAAAGCUGUUUUACACUUUGUGUUACAUUGGGAUAGAAAUUUUUUUAAACUCAAACCUAUCUAUAACCUAUCUCGUUGCAAACCAUAGAACUAAACCUCCCGUGUGCGCUCGGGCGCGGAUGGAAGACAGCCUAUUACGAACGUUUUUGUCCACCAGCUGAAUGAGCUGACUCGGGGAUAGUGGACUUUCUCCAUGCCGACGUUGAUUACGUUCCCUCCAUAUGGCAUACAAAGUUGCUUGGAACACAUAUCUCACUAUGUAAAACUCUGUUUUGUCUCUGUUUUGAUCAAUCACCAGCUGUAUAAUCUGGUCCCACUGGUUGGUAUAGCGUGUAGCUAGCAGUUUCUGGGUUAAUCCUUUCCAAACCUCCUAUGAAAACUUGCAGACAAAGAAAAGAUGAUCUCUUGACUCUAUCGGGUCAUUGCAGAACACACAAGAGCUGGGAUGUUGAGUGCUCCAUUGCUUAAUUCGAUCACCGGUUGCAAGUCUGUUGAGGAUUGCAAGCCAAGCAAUGAAUGAAUAUUUUGGAGUAUUGAAAGCAAACCAGAUCCCAGGACUCCAAUUCACUUUCGGUCGAGGCACUCGUGUCAGUUUUGGCCCAUCUCUUGUGUGUAAACUGGAAAUAAUUUGACAUGUAUAAGUUGUCACUUAAAUUUUUCCGUUUGGAAUUAUUUUGACAUUUUUUUUCUGGAAAAACUGCUCGCCCCACAAACAGUAAGACCAUGUUCAAUAAUCUCGCCGUUGGUUUUUUAUAGGUGUCUGGUUUGGCGUUAUUUUAUUUUUAUUUUUUUCAGUUUGUCGUUGUUUAGCUCAAACAUUUGAGUAUAUGAACCUUCACGUUCUCAAGGGGCCAAAUUAGACAACUAAAAAAAAGCAAAAGGACAGCUAAAUAGAUCUGUCUUGGAUUUGCGGGAAAGUGGAAAAUCCAGGUGGAUAUAUAUAUAUAUAUAUAUAUAUAUAUAAUUAUAUAUACAUAUUGUUCUAUGAUGAUAUUGUCCCGCUUAGGGGUGGGCGUUCGGGUACCCGUUCGGGUUCGGGUCGGGUAUUUCGGAUUUUCGGGUAUUUCGGUAUAGAGGUCUAGAACCCGUUCGGGUAUUUCUGUACUUCGGGUCGGGUUCGGGUAUUUUUAGUUCGGAUUCGGUUAUUUCAGAUCGGGUUCGGAUAUUUAGAUUUUGAAUAAAAAAAUUAAAAUUUUAAUUUCUCAAGUUUGUUGUAUUUAAAAAUAUAACUUUCAGUUAACUAAUUUUUUUAUUUUUAAUAGAUUGAAUGGUUAAUAAAUUUAGACAUAAUAUUUUAAAACUAAAAAGACAUUAAUUUAGUUUUUUUUUUAAUUUUGGAUGUAACUUUUUGUUAAUUUUUGAAAUAAAAAACUUGACAUGCAUUUUAAGUGAGUAGCAAAUCAUUUUUUCCGUAAUUGUAUGUAUAUCAUAUGAACUUAAAGUAUGUGUAGUAUCAAUAUAAAUAUUUUAUAUAAAAUGAGAGAUAUAAACUAGAAAUAUAAGGUUAAUUAUACAUAUGUUCGGUUAUCUUCGGAUAUCCAUUCGGGUUCGGGUAUUAUCCGUUCGGGUUCGGGUAUCUAAUCUCUCCUUAUUCAAUAUCCGUUCGGGUAUUUUGCUACUUCGGUUCGGAUUUCGGUUCGGGUUUUUCGGAUCGGAUUCGGGUGCAACUUCGGAUAUCGGAUAAAGUGCCCACCCCUAGUCCCGCUAUUCCGCUAAUCGCUGGGAAAGUACUCUAAUCGCUGUUCGUUUUCCCCUUUUACAUUAGGCAAAACCAGAGUUUCAACUCUUUUAAGUUAAAAUGAUAUGCGUUUCUAAAUCGUGAAAGUAAUUAAUAUAAGAUUUUAAUUUAAUAAAAAUAGAUUUGGUUCUAAAAUUUAUGAAAUGUAUAGAAUAAUUUGUUCUUUUCAUAAUAAUUUAAAAUAAGUUAAAAAUUUUAUUUUUUGAUAUAAUUUUAUAUUGUUACCAAAUUUCAACCCAUUUAAUAUAUAUAUAAUAUUUUAAGGUGUUUUAUUUUUAUAAAGUUCAAAAUAUAUUUGUGAAAUUUUGGGAGUGGAUGAAGUUUUUAUAUAAUUUUUAUUAUUUUGUAUUUAUAGUUAAUAUAAAAUUAUAGAUGUAAUAAUAAUUAGUUUAAUUUUAAAAUUUUAAUCUAUUCGAUAAAUUUACGUGAGAUUAUUGUAUUGUUAUUAUUUGGUCUAAUAUUAAAUUAAUACUUAUAGAAUAUAUAUAUAUAUAUAUAUAUAUAUAUAUAUAUAUAUAUAUAUAUAUAUAUAUAUAUAUAUAUAUAUAUCUAUUUUCUUUCUCAUUUUAAAUGAAAAUUAAUAUAAUUUAAUAAUUUAAUAAUAAAUGAAUUUAUUUAAUUGUUUAUAAAAAUUAUAGAGUAAAAAAAUUUUAUAAGUUCUUCUACAAUAAAAAUAUACAUAUUUAUAAUUUAUAAAAAUAAUGAUUUAUAAUUUCAUCAUUGUUAAAUAUUUUGCAUGAUAUCUUAUUGGUUAUGUUGUCCAUUCUGAUUGAUAUAACCUAUUUAUUUUUUAUGUCAAUGACAAAUACCAUAUCCGUUUAUUUGGAACUAAAGUUCUUACGCUUUUUUCUAUUAGCAAAGUUUUUUUGAUAAAAGCGACGUCUCUUUCGUUUUCACCUUCUCUAGUAAAUCUAUACUAUUAAAAGGGAAGCAGUUUUUAAAAAUCUACUUAUAAAGGUUGUUGAACCUUUUCAUUAGAAUAUUUAUAUAACCUUAAUUAAUCAACUCCACAUAUAUAAUAUGUUUAAUAUUUGUGCCAAACUAAAAGAUUAUGCCACCAAAUUUUGUGCUUAUUAACAGAAAAUAAUUAUAAUAACAUUUAUUUUCAAAUACAAAAAAGAUAAUGUUUAGAUAUAGUUUAUAUUGUCAGCUAUGAUGAUCAUUUAUCUGCUCCACAUAAAGGCUGAUUUACAACAUUUAUUAACAUAUUAUAUGAACCAAAUUUAUUUAUAUACAUAAUGUAAAAAAUUUAUGUAAAACAUAAUGUAUAGAAACAUGACAAUACUUUAAAGUUUUUUUAUUAUAUUCAAAAUUUUAUGCGUAUACACAAAAUAUGUUUCUAAAAAUCUAACAUUUUAUUUGAAAUCUGAAAUAUUAACCAAAAACUGAAUCUGAAACACAAUAGAAUAAUCGUGACACCGAAGACAUAUUUGAAACAGAAAAAUAUAUUAAUAUACACAAUACAUUUUAGAUACUCAGGGUACCGGUUCAGAUCUCUGUAGAAUCCAAACCUAAACCGACACUGCGGGUCUGAAAUAUACCCAAUAGAUACUUUGCCGUAGACUUGGAUCUGAACCGAUUCGGAUCGGUUUUUAUUCGAACCAAACAAAAUGUUUGGACCUAAAAAAGAGUUACAUAACAAUAUACAUACAAAAUUUUAAAUAAAUUAAUUCAUAAAUCAUAUAAUUUUAUAAAAUUCUAUGUUUUGAUAUAAUUCAAUAUUGUAACAUAAUAACAUACAAAAAUCAUUAACAUUAUUAAAUUUUUUAUUGUAAGAAAACCCGUGCUUUUGAAGCGCGGAUCAAGAUCUAGUUAUGAAAUUAUUGAUUCAUACGUGAUCACUUGGUACACCAAGAACAAAUCGAAAUUUAUGUACCUUGUAAUAUGAAUUACGCAAAAGAUUAUCCUUAGAUAGAAUAUUUCCCUACAAAAUCAGUGAUCGUAUCCAUAUAUUCUUCUUCUAAACUACAAUCUGUUUUUAUGGCUAUCAAUCUACUUACAAAUUAAGUUCAAAAAAAAAAUCUACUUACAAAUUAUAAUUGUUAUGACUAUCUCUACAUCCUUUAUGCAAUGUUUGUUUAAAUGCAUCUAACAUAUCAAACAGUUAUUUGAUUUUAAAUUGGGUUUUUGUGGUAUAUCUCCUUUUUCAACAAUCGAUAGCAAAAUAAAUUAUAUGUAUUAUUUGCCAUAUAAACAUUAUCUACAUCUAACUUAAUUAUCCCCAUUAUGAAAUUCAUUAGUAUUACCACCAUUCUUUUUUUUUUACAUAUAAAUCUAAGUUUUCUUGCCACUUAAGACGUCUAUGGGUACCAAAGAGAAUCAAACCCAGGAUAAAAGCUAUAGCUAGAACCUUUUUAUCACUAUGCCAAGACCACUUUGUUCAGUCUCUAAUCUCUAUUAAUAUACCAAAUAUUAUGCUCCGGCAUAAACUAAUUGAUAUAUAAAUGCUUCCAAACUUCUUCAAUCUCAAUAUUGCUAUUAUUUCGAUAAGUAGAACAUGUAUAUUUCAACUUAUGGAGUUUUUUAGUUUCUGGUCGUCGUUGAGACAAUAUCAUGAAUUCGUUAAUUCCAUCUGCACAUUUCGGUGUAAAUAAAUUUACCUUCGAAUUUAUAGGAAGUUUAUCCAUCCAUGAAAAAUAAUAAUUAAAAACAUGUUUUCUAGUUUUCUUUUAAAUAAAAGUAGAUAAGGGAUUAUAAUAUCUAUAUAUGAAUUUGAAUAAAUUCUUCAUAUCUUUAAAAAAAACAUAUAUAUGUAGAAGUUUUAAAAUUUUCAAGCAACUACAUAACAUAAAUAUAUUUAUUGAGAAUUUGUCCGUUAUUUUUGUAUUUAAUAAUAGAUAGUUAACAAAUACAGUAAAACCUCUAUAUAUCAAUAAUGUUGUGACUAUGGUAUUUUAUUAAUUUAUAGAGUUAGAUUUUUUCUAUCUUUUUAUAUUUUAUUUAUUAAAUAAGGAAAUAAUUAGUUUUGCCAUAUAUACAUUAAUUAAAUUUUAGAAAUUAGAAUUUCAUAUUUGGUGUAUAUUUUUAUAUUUUGUAGAAUUCAAAUGUGAUUUUAGAUAUAAUGUUACUAAAUAUUAUAAAAUAUAUUGAACUUUUUUAAAAAAAUAAAGAUAAUUUCACUGUGAAUAUAAAAUCAACGAUAUAAUGUUUAGUUUAUACAUAUAUAAAAUAUAUAUAUAUAUAUAUAUAUAUAUAUAUAUAUAUAUAUAUAUGUAUACAUUAUUAAUUUAUGAUUUUAACAAGACCAUAUAUUUAUAGUCAUAUUUUAAAACGAUCAAACUCAAAAGUAGAAAAAAAUUAUUAAUUUACUGUAUUUAUUAAUUUAUCGAAUAUUAAUUUAUAGUAUCUAUCUUAUUAAAACUCAAGUACAAAAUUGGAGUGUUUGGAGACUUGAAUAGGACUUUUAAAAAUUUGGAGUGAUUGGAAACAUGGAUUGCAGUCUUUUAAAAAAAUAUAUUUUUGUUUGAAAACAAUGAUAGUAGUAUUAAGAAAAAAAGUAAUGGGCUUAUGUUUUUUUUAAAAAUUGAAAGUUAUCUAGGCCACUUUUAAAAUAUACCAAAAUGGGUCAAUCUAAUUCCCUAAAAAAAAUUUUUCUAAACUAACCAUAAAACAAAAUUUAAACUUUAUAUACAUAUUUCAAAUCAAAAUAAUAAUUCAAAUUUGAUUUAUAUCAAAAAUUGAUUCAAAAAUAUACAUAUAUUCAAAAAUGGAUUUUUACUAAACUAUUUUUCAAUAACCAUUAUAAAAAAAUAUUGUCAAUAUAUAUAAGAAAAAUAUAAUACAAAGCCCAAUUUGAAAUACCAACUCAAAUUAUGGUUUUCAUAUUUCAUAUUAAGUUUUAAAAAUAUAAUAUAUGUAAUUAUUUAUAUGAUGGUAUGUAUAAAAUACUAUUAAUUAUAUGAUUACUUAUAUGAUGGUACAUAUAAAAUACGAUUAAUUAUAUGAUGAUAAAAUACGAUAUAUAAUAAUGACUAGGGAUGGGCUUUUGGAUACCCAUACGGGUUUAGUUCUGAUCGUCUUGUAUUUUGGGUUUUCGGGGUCAAAGAUUUCAGCCUUAUUAGAAUGUUUCUAAAUUUUGGUUUGAGUUCGAUUUGGAUCUUUGCGGGUUUGGUUUGGGUUUGGAUAACUAAUUUAAAUUAUUUUUAAAGUCUUAAAUCAUUAUAUAUUUUAAAUUUCUCAAAAUGUAUAAAUAAAAUAAUAUAUUAUGUAUAAAUUUGAAUAACAUAUGUCAUAAUACUUAAACUUAACAUAUCAAUUGGGUUGAUUUAAAAUUUUGGAUACGAAAUCAAUAAUUAUUUUAAGUAUUUUUGGUGAUUUGAGUAUACUUUAACUAUUUCAGAUAUUUACUUUUGACUAUCUAUAUAUAUUUUCAAGUAUUUAAACCAAUUUAAAAGUAUCAUUUUUGAUGUUUUAUAUACGUUAAAUCUAAAAAUAAUUAAUAUAUAUAAGUAUAUAAAUCUAUUUUUAGAUAAAUUCGGAUAACUAAAUACUUCGGUUCGGAUCAGAUUCGGUUCUCUAAAUAACAAAAUUUUGAAUAAUUAGAAUAUUUAAUCAAUUUAUGUUUGGGUUUGGUACUAUAUCUUUGGAUCGGUAUCGGUUAUGUUCCUCGGAUUCAUUUUUCCAAAUCCUAAUAAUUACAUGAAAAACAAAUAUCAACAUAUUUUUCAAAAUAUACACCCGCGCGCCUGCGCGGAUCAAAAUCUAGUUCCAUUUUAUAACUGUUUCAUCUUGUCCAACUUACACUUAUUGCAACAUAUGUAGGCUAGUCGAGAAAAGUCGCCCAAUUAAAGAAGGAAGAUUCUUUCUAUUCUUAAAUUAAAAAUUAGACUUAGUCACUAAUUAGGGCUUGUGGCUCCUCCGCUAAGAGGUAAAGACGAAGAUUUCCUGUUUAUUGUUUUAGGAUCUCACUUUCCAUUCAUCCUUUCUUUUGACUGAUUGCUUUCUCUCUACCCUCUUAUGUAAAUUAUUCCUUCUCUAUCCAAAUCUAUCUUUUUAGUGGAGGUUUGAAGCGAAUCUCGAGAAAGCUUUGCGAGUUUUCUUUAACUUCCCAGAUUUUUCCAAAUCAAGAAACCAUUUUCUGAUUUUGACUUUCGGUUUCGUUUCUGUGGUCUGUUUGCUUCAUUUCAUACAAAGCUAGGGUUUCCAUCUCAUAACGGAUCUCAGUCGCGGGAUUCUGAUUUUGUAAGAAUAAGUUAAAAUGGUGAGAGGAAAGAUCCAGAUCAAGAAGAUCGAGAACACGACAAGCAGACAAGUUACCUUCUCUAAGCGAAGGAGUGGUCUCUUUAAGAAGGCUCAUGAGCUUUCUGUUCUUUGUGAUGCCCAAGUAGCAGCUAUCAUCUUCUCUCAGAAAGGAAGAUUGUAUGAUUUCGCCAGCUCUGAGUAAGAUUUUUUAGUUUCAGCUUGAUUAAUUACUCCAAUUAUCUAUAUUUUAAUAUAUUUUUGAAUUUCCUGUUAAAGUAGUACUUGUGUAGUUGAGUAUCUCUCUGAGCAUAUAGUACUAGCGAUUUCUUAAUAUACAUGUAAAAGAUUUUGCCUAUAGCUAGUUGCAGUUGUUAGAUUUUCCCAAAAUAUGCCCUUUUCACAUUUAAUUUUAUUUAAAUUCUCAUAUAUUUUUUUUUGUUAAACUAUUAUUUUCCAUGUACUAUAUAUCAACAUGAGGGUUAUCUUAUGAAUUAAUUAGGGUUUUCACGAAUACGGUUUUUGAAUGUUGAGCCCUUUAUCUGCGUUGGAACUCAAAGUGUCAAACUAGUUUUUAAAUCCAAAAUUAUUUGAUUUAAUAUCAAGAACAUAAAUUGAACCGAAUCAAGAAUAUAUGAGAAACAGCUCCAAGUGUUUUGCCAUUUUUUGUCUAGAUGAUUCUUCCCACUGCCUAAUUCGUUAAGGUCGGACUCGGACUACUAAUCUACUGUUCACUAUUUAUAUAUAGGAUAGGAUCGGUUGAAUGAUUAGCAUAACAUCAAUACAUCAAAACGUGGAUACUUUUGAUUCAUUUCUAGCUAGGUUAUAUCUAGAAAGUUCAUAUUCAUAUAUACAUAUUUAUGAUGUCCAACAAAUGUCUAGUUCUCUCUACCAAUAUGACAUGGUUAGUAUAAUAUCUAUAUAUAUGUACUUAUGAAGAGCCUUCAAUUCAAAGGAAUAUUUUCCAACUAAUUAAAACUCACAACUAAUGAACCGUUAAUGUCUUGAGAAUUCUUUAGUAUCCAGAAGACGAUCAAGCGAUACGCUGAGUAUAAGGGAGAGUACUUCGUUGCAGAAAGUCACCCCACUGAGCAAUACGUGCAGGUUUCUUUUUAUAUAUCAGUUCUCUCUCAUUUUUACUUUUCAUCAAUCACGUACAGCCCUUUUGUAUAAUUUCAAACUUCUACUGAAAAAUACAUUUGAUUUCUUUUGUGACACUUGGUACAACUAUUUUGGAUAUACAGGGACUAAAGAAGGAAAUGGUGACAAUGGUGGAAAAGAUUGAAAUGCUUGAAGUUCAUAACCAGUUUGUAUCUCAGUUGUCAUAUUAUAUAUAAACAUGUUACCUGGUUACUAAAGGAAGUGUGGUGAUUUUGAAAUGUCCCUUAAUUUGAUAGGAAGUUGAUGGGGAAAAGUUUGGCCUUUUGUUCUUUAAAAGAACUUCAGGAAAUAGCCACACAGAUAGAGAAAAGCCUUCAUAUUGUUAGAUCAAGAAAGGUUAGAAACAAAAAAAUGCAUUGAUUAAUGUGUAUAUAUAAUGAGAUGAUUCUUUCGUUGUAUGAGUACUUACUAGUCUUUUGGAUCUUGUGUUGGAUUAUUGGUAGGCUAAAUUAUAUGAAGACGAGGUAGAGAAACUAAAAGCCAAGGUUAGAAUAGUUACAAUUUGAUUUUUGUGGAUCGGUUGUCCUUUGUCGUGGAUAUUUAUUGAAGUCUCUUGUUGAAAAUUAGGGGAGGGAGCUCAAGGACGAGAGAGUCAGGCUUAGUGGAAGGGUAUGUACCAUACCACACUAUUACCUAUAUGUGCAUCACAGAGUCAUCAAUACGUACAAAUUGAUUUACAAAACUCAUUUACACAUUCACAAAAUGAAUAUAACUUAUGUAUUGAGAAAAACGGAAUAUGGCAUUCAUGUAUUCGGUAUAUAUUUUGCCCAAAAUGUUUUAUAUUAGGGUUAAUUACUUAUUUAUAUACACGAGGGUUUGAGUUAAUGACUCUUUUCUUUUAUUUUCACUAAUUAAUUCAAAGCAAUAAAAUAACUUAUAUACACUUUUAUAUAUAUGUCAGGUAGGAGAAGAACCAAGCGGGAUGCCAAUGCCAUCAGGAAGCAAAGAGAAAGAGGAUGUGGAAACUGACCUAUCCAUCGGAUUUCGACCCGAUCUUAACAUUCUUCUUGUUCCUUAAACAUGAUAUCGAGCUACUUAUUAUCUCAGUGAAUAUGUGUAUAUUUAUAGGUCUUGUGUCACAUUUAUACUGAUAACUAAAUGAAACUAUUCUCUUCGAACUACGUACUUUGAUUUUCAUGGGUCCAUAUAUAACAAUGUAAUUAAUGAUACAUUUUUGUGUGUGGAAGUUCUCUUAAUUAAGCUCGUUUUAAAGAGUCGAAGACUAGGAUAUCAAAUUCUCGUAUGGACCAAAAGGGUUCAAAAUAAUCUGAUAUGAACCUCUUCUUUUUCUAUUACAUUUUGCAUUUAAAUUUAAUUCAAAAACUAGAGAAAAUAACUAAAAAACCUACAGACUUAAGCAUAUUUACAAAUUCAUGCCAUUAAUAUCCUAUCCAGACCCAGACCCAAAAUUCGACCCAUAACCCGACCCAGAUUUAAACCCUAAGUUUUUUUUCUUUCUCUUGUCUUCUCCAUUGAUACUUCUUCAAUUUUAAAGCAAAAUCAAAAUUUUCUUCAAUCACUUAUCGAUUUUCUUUCUGUUAUCCCAAAUCGAUCAACCCAUAGUUUUCUUUAAUCCAUUACGUCUUAUUUAAAACCAUAUCUCAUCAUAUACAUACAAGAUUCAUAAAAAAUCAGAACGCAGAGUAUUACUAGUACAACUAGUACAGCUCCAACUUGUGCAACUAGUACAACUAGAAAAAAUAUAACUUGUACAACUAAAUUGAGUAUAAUCAAUAUAACUGGUACGACUAGAACUCGAAUUAAUAGUACUUUGCAACUAAUAUGGUGAUAUUUAGUUUUUGUUUUCAGCGUAUUAAUGAUAUACAAAAGAUGAUGAUGAACCAAUAAUACAUAUUACUCUAAUCUUUCCCGCCUGCAUCUGUCAAAAUACAUGUAUAACUAGAACAACUAGAACAUGUAUAAUUACCACAACUUUACAAUUAAUAUGAUUAUAUUUGAUUUUUGUUUUCAGCGUAUGAAUGAUGUUAUAGAAAAGGAUGAUGUAUAACCAAUGAAAAUGUUGGUGUAAUCUUCAUGUAUGUGUCAAACUGGUGUUAUAGAAAGGGAUGAUAUACCAUUUGUACUAAUUGUACUAUAUACGGGAAAAAAAUCAUCUUCAUGUAGUUUAAGAUCUGGAAGAUUAUACUCCAAAAGACAACUGCCGAGCCAGAAAAAACAUUGUAGUUUAAGAUCUGGAAGAGUAUACUCCAAAAGAUAAUGCAUAAGCCAUCAUGAGUUUAAGAAGAAUGCAUAAGCAUUAAUGUUUGAUAUUUAGACAACAACAAUAAUAGUUUAACUAGUUUAAUACUAUUAUUAGUUUAAUUUUGGCAGCACUUACCAGAAUUGCCCCCUUUGUCACGUGCCUCCAUUCGGUGGGGGCUAGGACCUUACCAGAAUUGCCCCCUUUGUCAGUGAAGAAACGAGGCAAGAGUUCGCGGCAGUGGUGGUAGAUACUAUUACUGGAGCGCAGAACCGGUUGGGUUGGAGAGAGACACCGAAUGGAGAAUUCUCAGUGAGAACUGCGUACAAUUUGAUCACAUGAGAUGAUGCUCCAAGGCCAAAAUGGGAAGCUUCUUUAAAAGAAUGUGGCGUGUGGUGGCGUCUGAGAGAGUAAAAAUGUUCCUCUGGCUUGUUGGAAAUCAGACAAUAAUGACUAACGCAGAGAUAUUUUGACGUCAUUUAAGCGGAACUGAUGUCUGCCAGAUUUGCAAAGGAGGAAUCGAAACCAUCUUGCACGUGCUUAGAGACUGUCCUGUGAUGUCAAGAAUUUGGGAUCGCCUUGUCCCAACUGGGAAGAGACAAGCCUUCUUCUCAAUGUCCUUGUUUGAGUGGUUCUAUACGAACCUAAGUGAUAAGCAAGAGGGAAGUGGAGUUCCCUGGGCCACGGCGUUCUCUUUAAGUUCUUAUCCCAAAUCGAUCGAUCUAUUAUCAUCUUUAAUCGAUUUACUCUUGUCUGAAUCGAAAUUCAUCUUCGUUUUAAAAAAUUCGCAUCAAAAAAGAACACAAUAGUAUAACUAGUACAACUCAAACUAGUACAACUAGUACACCUCAAACCAGUAUAUCUAGUACAACUGGGGUGAGUAUAACCACUAUAACUAGUACAACUAGAACACAUAUAACUAGUAUAACUUUGCAAUUAGUAUAGUGAUAUUUGGUUUUUGUUUUCAGCUUAUUAAUAAUGUUAUAGAAGAUUAUGAUGCAGAACCAAUGAAAAAUUGGUACAAUCCCCACCAAGAUGUGUUAAAAUAUCUUAAUAGUUUGUUUUCUAUAAUAUUUAAUUUAGAUAAUGAAUUUGUUUUACUAGUUUUACUAUUUACGAAAAAAAUCAUCUUCAUUCUUUUUGCUCUCGAAGCCGAAGGUAGUUGCAAAGCCAGAAAAAUUAUAUUAGGUUAAGAUGUGUUUUGUAAUACCCUAUAAUACAGCUAGAAGGAGUAUAACAUGUAUAUUAGUAAAACUGAAACGCGUAUAACCAGUACAACUCUCCAACUAAUAUGGUUAUAUUUUGUUUUUUCCAGCGUAUGAAUAAUGCGAGAAAAGAGAAUUAUGUAUAAAAAAUGAGACAUGUUAUUCUAAUCUUUUCUCACAUGUAUGAGUCAAAAUACAUGAAUAUUUUGUUUUACAUAAUAUUUAUUAAGAUAAUGAUUUUUUUAAUUGGUUGUGCUAGUUGUAGUGUGGGGCCUCAAAAGUUGCGGUAUAAGAAGAUUUAAAAGAGUAUAAUGCAAAGAUGAUGUAGAAGCUCUCACGGGUUUGAAAAUGAUGGAUAGGCUUCAUGUUAACAUGGUGUUUGUACUAUGACAAUAGUAGUCCAACUUGUGUACCUGGUUUAUAUAUGGUAGACUGGUAGUAGUACCAAUGUUUUGAUAUUAAAAAUGACAUACCAAUGUUAGUUGUAUUUUUGUAUUUGAUUUCAAAUAACUUUUUAUUUUUAUGUUUUGCAAAUUAUAUGAUGAUAUUAAGUUGUACCAGUUAAACCAAUAUUCAUAUCUUGUAUAUGGGCUAUAUGUUUAGUUUUAUUAGAUUACGAGUUGUACCAUCUUCUAUAACUCACUACUUUAGCAAUUUCAUGAUUUAACUUAUAUUAGCAUCAUAUUAAACUUUUAACAACAUUCAUUACACUAACAUUAAUUUAAAACGUGAUGCACAGUUAAAGCAAUACUAAAUAAAAUAAUAAUAUAGUUGUACUAGUUUAUUUUUGAGUUGUAAAACAAUAACGGCUGCUCCGGAUUAGAAAUCUCCAAGUUUCACUAUUCUCUGCAUGUAUAUCUCCAAGAGCCAUUCAACCUACUCUGAACCUGAAAAUGACUUGAAAAAGACUAGAGAGACUCGAUAAAAACUUGAAAACAAUUUAGAAAACAUAUAUACAAUCUGUCAGAAAACACAAUAUAUCACAAAACGGCCUCGUAACAUUGACAUUAACUUAAACUAAUGAUUUCUGAAAGUUAGAUUAUGCUUUUUUUUCCAAAUAACAUGGUUAAUCAAGUAAACAAACAGUUAAAGUAUACAGUAAAUUAUGUAAACUUAUGUGAUGGUGUAAUAAUUGUCAAAAAAAAUUUCAUAAUUUUUUUUAGGAAAGUUACAACUACUUCAUUUAAUAUUAAACCAUAAUGUAUAAAACAUGAUACACGUUUUAAACGUGAUGAACAAUACAAAAUGAAAUAACAUAGUUGUACUAGUAUAUUUGAGUUGUACCGAUUUGUACAUAGUUGUACUAGUUUUUUAGUUGUACUGGUUUGUACAUAGUUGUACUUUGGCAGUGAAAUCGAAAAAACUAGUGGUACCACAUUAGAUUUAAACUUACUUCAGUUGUACCACUUCUUUAUGUCUACAUGCAUUUGCCCCAAUAAAAUGAAAUCAUCAGUUUUGUUAAAAUACAUUUCAUGUAUGUUUUCCAAAAAUUAUGUGUACAAAUAAGUUAACAAACCUUAAAAGUAUAAGGUAGAUCAUGCAAAUUAUGUGAUGGUGUAAAAACUGCAAAAAAAAUAAAAAUAUUAAAAUAAUAAGGAAACUAUCUAAAUAUUUACCAAAAUGGUCAUUUGAUUGUUUUUUUUUCAUAUGGAAUACCCAAUGAAAUAUAUAAAUUUCAGAAAAUGAAUAGUUGUACUAGUUAUACCAAUAUUACUUGUAUGAUAAAUAAAACAUAGAUGUACCAGUUAUACUAGUAUAACAGUAUGGUUUGAUAUAUAGUUGGACCAGUUAUACUAGUUGUAUCAGACUGGUUUACAUUUUACACUAAUUACAGAAGUUAUAAUAGUAAUACUGGUUUUAUGGUUGACAUAUGAUUAUACCACUUGUUUAUGUGUCCAGGCUAUGUUUAACAUAUUAUGGAAUCAUAAAUUUUGUAAAAAUAUAAUCAGUGUAUGUUUUUCCAAAAUAAUGUGACUAAACAAAUAAAUAUAUUUUGUAAAAGUAUGGACAAUGUAUGUUUUUCAAAAAUAAAAUGGCUAAGCUAAUAAACAAACCUUAACAGUAUAAAGUAGAUCACGUAAAUUUAUAGGAUGAAGUAAUAAUUAUAAAAAAUAUUAAAUAAAUUGUGAAUUUAGCUGUAUCAAACUAAGACAAAGCAAAAAUUGUAACCUGAACAAGAGGAACAAACCUUGAAGGCAGCCACAUGUAAACUUCUUAUUUAUCUUAAGUAAAGUCUUAAAGAAUGGAACUUUUUUUGCAACACCUUGACAAAAUCAUGUAUGUUUUGUACUUCCAACAUAAUAUUCUUUCCACUAUCUCCGCAAACAUUAAGUUGUAAAUUUCCUGACAUUUUCAUCUUCAUCCCCUGUAACCAAUGCUUCAACACCAUACCUAGCAUUCAAAAACUCCACCACCGCAAGAGUAAGCACCAGCUUAUUGGAAUUCAAAACAUCAAACACAUUCAAACUCCUCUACGUCAACUUCCUUAGCAUUCCUAUAUUCCUGCUCGACUUCGCCACGUUCUCUUCCACAUCAACCAUCAAAAAUAUUGUUUUCCCCUUCGGAUCCAACCCCCAUCUCUUCAUCGCAUCCAAAAACUUUUUCUUCCUCGGCUUCUCGAACAUACCAAUGAACUCCUUCACCACAAUCGCGCCUCCCGACGCCGCUGCGCUCGCUAUCACCGUCGAUAUCGCCAGCCUCUUCUCCAUCGUGUCCAAGGUAGCAACCCUUCUAAUUAUCUCAUAUGAGAGAGAGAAGAUCGGCGAGACGUACCUAGACCUCAGAACCGCAUCAGAGGAAAUCAUGCGCUCCGUUUUCCACCAUGCCAUCGUGACAGACUUGCAAAACAAGCGGCAAGGGACGGCGUCAACGUUGACUUGCGGUGAAGUACGCGGCGGCAGAAUCAAGCCUCGUGGAAGAUAUAUGAAGAUCACAACAGAAUUUAAUCCUCUCAUGGAGGAGAUAUGAGGGCACGGCGACUGACAGAGAGAACAUGCUGCGAUGAUAAAUCCUAGUUCGGUGGAGGCGCAAUGGUUCAAUGAAGUAUUCGAGCUUCAGUCAUGAGAGAGAGGACCACGCUGGAAGAAGCACCAAUGCAGAUGUCAUGUAAUCGAUUUCACAUCGCAAAUCUAAGCAGUUGGGACCAGAGACGCCGUGUGUUGGUGUGGAGGUUUACGAUCUACCGCGAAGAAGAAGACCUAGAAGAAAAGAAAGCAGACGACGUCGUAGAUCUUUUGUUAUAAAUUUUGUUUAAUUUGUUAAUUUCAUUAAGGGUAUACAAGUAAUUUACAUAUUAUAGGUCCAUACAGAUUUUUUUAGGAGGCUGUAGAUUUUUUUUUGGACAAUUGGUCUAUUAUAGAUUUUUGUCCCGAAGACUAAAAAUUUUGUUGAAUGAACUACGACAUGACUCAUGAAUUGUUGAAAUAGAUUGUGGUCACUAGAGUAUUUAACCAACUUACAAAACUCCAAUAUCAGGUAGAUUGUGGGAUUAAGUGUUCAAAUUCAAGUGUGUUAAAAAAAAGUGUUCAAAUUCAAUGUUCUUUGAUCACGGUAAAUAUCAAAAACAUUUAAAGCUUUCAAAUAUCGUCACAUUAAUUAAUUGCUUCAACUGGAUUGUUGAUUUUCGGAAUAGAAUAAUGUGGAAUGACUUAUUCCGUUAAUUCUAAAAAACUAUUUGACAUGAAUACAAUUGACUCAUUUCAUCAAUUUCACAUAUAAAUAGAUAAAAUACAAAGAUAAUCAUUUCAUAACAUAAAUAUAAAAUGAACUAAUUUAUAUCUUUCAAAUAUAUAUAUAUGUGUAAUGAAAUGAGAUGAUUAUGUUGAAUUAUUGGUAGGAUACAUACUAUGACAUUCUGGGUUUUUUCUCUAAAUUGAAAUUCAUUCAUAAGUAAAAUAUCAAUAUUCAUACGACAGCUUGCGAAAAAACGAAAUAGCCCCAGAAACAAGAGCUAAUAGGAAGCGGUAAGUAGAAUGACUUAAGGAUAGAGUAAAAUCUACACCACUACUAGAAUCAUUCAUAUGGUUAACAUCAUUCUGGUUAUAAAAAAACACUUGUAAUUUCUUUUUGAGAAAAAGACUAGGAUAGUACUAAACCAAGUUUUUGUUCCCAAAGUAGCACUCAAGGCUCAAAGUCACAAAAAUAGGUUUCAUUAAAGAGGUAAAUAUACACUUAUACCCCUUGGGUUAAUUAAUCCAAACCUUAGGGUUUAGAGUUAAGGAGUGGAGUUUUGGAAUUAGGGUUUAAAAUUUUAUAAAAAAUAAAAACUAAAAUAAAAAUUUUAAAAACAGUUUCAAAAAGUAUUUUUAAAUUAUAAAAAGAAAAUUUGAAAAAAAAAUAAAAAAAAUUUCGAAAAAAAAAAUUCAAAAAAAAAGUUAUAAAAAUUUCGAAUCUGAAAACAUAUAAUCUGAAACUAUAAAAAAAAAAUCUUUUUUUCAUUUUAUUUAUUUUUAUUUUAUUUAUUUUUAUUUAUUUUUGUUUGUUUAUUUAAUUUUAAACCAAGGGUAUUAGAGAUAUUUUACCCUUUAAUGAAUGUCAUUUUUGUGACUUUUUCCUUCUAGUGCUAUUUGUGAGACAUAAACUUCAAAAUGUGCUAUUAUUGACAAUUGCCCUUUCUUUUUUCAAAAAUUUCAGUUCCUACUUCUGGAGAAAAUAUAAUAUUUGAUUUUUCAAGAGAAAUUAAAUGGAUUCGUAAUAUUAUAAUGUUUCUGUUCUAUUUUACCAAAUCCCCAUAAAUAUAAUUGUGAAUGGUGCUUGGCUUGUUCUUUCUAUUCGAAAACCUGGUUCUUGCUGAGCAAAAAAUUGUUGCGUCUCUUCUAAGCUCAUUACUGUCUUUUAUGAUUGCUUCUUUGUUCUUCAGCGAGUUUGUUAUAUCCAAAACCUAUGACUCUCUCUCUGAUUUAUUUUACUAUCAGCCUCGCCUAAUCUCUCGGGCUCCGGUUCUUCUCUCGAUCUUGUCUAAUCAGUUUCAGCCUUGAACAACCAAACUCUUCACCAAAGCUAAGCAAAAAAAAACAACCAAACUCUUCAUGCUCGUUCUCUUUGUUCAAUGCAGUUUUUUUUGCCUGCAAUAUUCUUUUCCCAAUGUCUUCAAAUUCUUUCCAUAUAAAAUAAUUAAUUAAGAUUUUGAUUGUUUUAAAGAGGAAAAUUGCAAUGGAGAUUUCAUUAAGAACUGAUUAUUGUGAUGGUUUAUUAAAGAUUGAUUAUUGUGAUGGUUUAUUAUUUCUUGUGAGCUUUCAAAAUGAUGAAUGUGUGGUAAGAGCGAAAGGAGCAUGCAAUGGAAAUGACAAAGGUAGUUAGGAGAAGAUCAGACAUUACAAAUUACCAUUAUUGCAUAUGAGAUGAAGACAUAGCGCAUGGCGAGGUGAGGCAAUGAGUGUCUUGCCUCUCGCCAUGCGCCAUGGUGACACAAAGCGCUCGCUUUGUGUAUGAAACUAAAAACGGUAUUGAAAAACAUAAGCAUAGAUAGACAGUGAUAAUUUUCUAUCCUUAACUCUAAGUUAGGUAAAGAUAUUGAUAAAGUGUAAUGAGUUAAGACAUAAGGGAGUUUUGCAGCAAAACUUAUGAUUGAAAAGAGAGGUUAGAAUAUGUGAACUAACCGUAAAAGCAAAGAAAAGCUAAACCCGUGAACAGAGAGAACAGUAGAGAAAGAUCUGAUGAGUAGCUUAUAGGGUUGUUUAACUCUUUUAUAGUAGUUUGAAUUAAGAUUUUAACAUGAAUUAAGGGUUUGUGAUAGAUUCUACUAGACGGCAUGCACACCUACUCUAUUAAACCUAGGUUGGUUUAGUAAUCUAACUCUCCACAAACCAUGUUGGUUUGAGAAGAAUCUUUGAAGCGUCGCUUUGCACGCCUUAAAGGCUACGAGUAUAGCGACAAUAGCGACCGCUUUGGACACCUCGCAUGGCCUUGGGGUCUUGAAGCGAUAAAGACAUCGCUAGACCUCGCCAAGCGCCAUGGCGGUCAUAGCGGUCGCCAUUUAAAACCAAGGACAGGAGUAGAAACUUAAAAGAGAAUGACAAA